Molecule: unclassified non-coding RNA, 86 nt
Filed under: Pseudomonas migulae
Lineage: Bacteria; Pseudomonadati; Pseudomonadota; Gammaproteobacteria; Pseudomonadales; Pseudomonadaceae
Source: RNAcentral
GUUGGAGCCGGCUUGCUGGCGAUGAACGAUAACGCGGACUGCCUGAUUCACCGCGGCGUUUGAAUCGCCAGCAAGCCGGCUCCUAC